UGAGGGUAAUGCUGUCUGGUUCGAGACCAUUCACCUGAAGCGCACGCAUUCAUCUUUUGAGUGAUCUCGGACCAGGCUUCAUUCCCCCCAACUCAAAAUCACAGGCUAAUUAACCUCUUGGCUAGCUGGAAACCCUUAAUUACGCAACUUCAAUCAAUGGCCUGAUAUCUUUAGCCCACUACAGUUCUUGACCUCUCAAAAUCUGGCAAUCUUGCUUUAUGUUCAGUAUUUCAAUUUGUGUCUCUUUUUUAUAUUCUGUUCGCAGCUCGUAAGAAAGCACCAGUGAAGAUCAAUGAAACACGUACAUACAUGUACAAUUGAGGCUAAUUAAAGAAUCGGAUGUGAUCAUCUAGCUGGCUAGAAUCAGGAUAUUUAAACAGUCAAGAGGGACCUGCUCUGACGUAACAAGCUAUAUCCUAGAUGGAUUAAUUAAGGAAGUUCUACUUUUACUGCAAUGGCGUGUCUGUUUGUGUGCUGAACCAUUCAACUAGCCAAAAUUAGGGAGGGUGCUGUAAAUAAGCACCUAGCUAGUUGUGGUUCUCUUUUAUUUCAAGAAGCCAAGUUAAUUGAUUGAGACAAUCACGCCAUCAAAGAUAAAGCAUGCAUCACUCAAGAAGAAAUUUGCUACAGUUUCACUUACUCUUUGAAAAACUUUGAGGCGUUGGAAAAAGAAAAAAAACCAUUCAAAAAGAAUUUUUCUUGGAGUUUGGUUCCAAAUGCCACCUCUAGCUAGUCUGCACGACCUUUCUUUGUUCUUUACCAAAUUCGUUGAAAAACAGAAUCGGUGUCUAGUGUGAAAAUCUGACUCAAAAGAAAAAAAAAUGCAACAAACAGAGAUUGGGCAGAUUGGCUUUGCUUGUA
Molecule: long non-coding RNA, 861 nt
Organism: Populus euphratica (Euphrates poplar)
Lineage: Eukaryota; Viridiplantae; Streptophyta; Magnoliopsida; Malpighiales; Salicaceae
Exons: 2
Source: RefSeq, a predicted model, not a curated record